Molecule: long non-coding RNA, 1649 nt
Organism: Panicum virgatum (switchgrass)
Lineage: Eukaryota; Viridiplantae; Streptophyta; Magnoliopsida; Poales; Poaceae
Exons: 3
Source: RefSeq, a predicted model, not a curated record
UCGAUUCAACCUUCCCCAAUCAGCCAAUCUUGCAUAUUCAUUUUUUCUGUUAAAAUUGGAGAAUUUGACUUAUGAGAUUAUUUAUGCUCUAUUAUGUAGACUAAAUCUUCCUCCAUUACCUCCACGUGGUGCAGGUGGUAUGUUGCAUGCAUCCGGUUACCAUUUUUCACUAAUUAAUUUUAUUUUGCAUAUUACUGGCCUAAUUCCUUUCAAAUGUCUAACACUCCAGCUCAAUUGUGUACACCCAGGUUCACUUCUUACAGUUGAUGAAAAUAAGAUAGAUUGAUAGGUCGGAAUGACUGGGCACUUGUUAGGUAUUUCUUUAUAAUUUUUCAAGUUUUUAUUUAGUUUGUGGUACAACUAGACUCGGAAUUGGAGAUAUAAUCUAAAAGCGCUUAGAUGAUUUUCUGCUAAAUAUCCUUAGUUAGGUGAUUUUCUGCUAAAUAUCCUUAGUUUGUUUAUAAAAUGUGAUAAUUAAUUGGUUAGUAUACAGGACUGACUAUAUAUGCAAGAUCAAAAGUUACACUAUCAAGAUUUUCAGGUUGCUCUCACAAGCUGCAGAUUGUAGGAUAUAUUGUGUUCCAUUAUCUUUGCACUGAACUAAUCAUUAAAUUUGUUGCUUAUUUAUAUGAUUUCCAAUUCCUUCAAAGUUAGAUAAAAAGAUUUUCUCCAUACCGCCUGCUAAUUACCAUGUUUGAGAAAAGAUAUUGCAGCCUUUCCUUUCAAUGUAGCAUUUAUUUGAGGGGGGAUGUCAUAUAUGGUCAUUGGAGGAGUAGCCUUGGGGUGUACUGAGUAUCAAACAAGAUCACAUAAUGUAGUGGGUAUCAUUGAAAACAGAUUUGUUUGAACAAUAGAGUCUCACUGUCACAUAAAGGGACAUCUUUGAGGUGCCUCUCAGGAGAAGGUUCCCUCAAAUUUGGUCAUCCUUCUUUCAAAUUAUAUGGUAAAUAUGAUUACAACUAUUCUACUAUAUAUCAAGUGCCAUAUGGAGAUUGAUGAACUCUGCUUAUAUAAACAAUGAAACAGCAUGUUUGGUGAGGUGUUAUAUUAAGUUUGAUAUUGUUUCAAAUUUCUUUUGUACUAACUCAAAGAAUAAUUUUAUUCAUACUAGUAGCUGUGUUUGAUUGUGCCGGUGGCUUUCCCUUUGGACACUGCUGGCAAUUAUCCAAGGAUAAAAAAAGGGCGUACCCAGUGCCGUAGGCUUCCCGCACAGUGCGGGGUCUGGGGAAGGGUUGUCUUUAAGCCCCAAGCCUUACCCACACAAAUGUGCAGAGGCUGAGGCUCGAACCCGGGACCUUCCGGUUACAGACGGCAUUGUCAGCAUCAUAGUAACAUGCAUUUAAUUCUACAAAGUGCAUAUCAAUUACCCUACUAUACAAGAGGAGCCAUUAGUGAGGCCCAUGACCUGCUACAGAACCAUUGGUGAUGCCCAUGCCAAAGGAGUACCAAUUGCUUGGCUUUUGAUUUGUGUUGAAAUGAUCAAUGGUUGAAUCACGAAGCAUUGGAUGUUGAGAAUACUAUAUAUGUCGUCGUGACAUAGAUUUCUAGUGAUGAUUAAUUACUUGUGUCACAUUUGCUCUUUAGAAUCAUAUGGUUGUGUACAUAAUGUCAAUUAUUAAAUAUCAUGGUCAAGUUCUAUGUUUCCUUCC